This is a long non-coding RNA of Stegostoma tigrinum, 1282 nucleotides long. RefSeq lists it as uncharacterized. The record is from RefSeq and is a predicted model, not a curated record. The transcript is spliced from 4 exons. NCBI's taxonomy places the organism in Eukaryota, Metazoa, Chordata, Chondrichthyes, Orectolobiformes, Stegostomatidae.
GUGUGGGGCUGGAGGAACACAGCAGGACAGGCAGCAUCAGAGGAGCAGGAAAGCUGGCGUUUUCGGGCCCACACCCUUCAGAAAUGGGGGCGGGGAAGGGGAUACUGAAAUAAAUAGGGAGAGACGGGGAAGCAGGUGGAGAGGAGACAGACAAGUUAAAGAGGUGGGGAUGGAGCAGGUAAAGGUGAGUGUAGGCAGGGAGCGGAUAGGUCAGUCAAGGGAGGCUGAACAAGUCAAGGGAGUGGGAUGAGGUUAGCAGGUUGGAAAUGGGGGUGUGGCUUGAUAUGAGAGGAGGGGAUAGGUGAGAGGAAGAACGGGUUGGUGAGGUGGGGAAUGAGCUGGGCUGGUGUUGGACUGCGCUUGGGCCAGGGGAGGUUUUGAAGCUUGUGAAAUCCACAUUGAUAGCAUUGGGCCGCCAGGUUCCAAAGCAGAAUAUGAGUUGCUGAUCCUGCAACCGUUGCGUGGCAUCGUUAUUGUGUUGUAGGAGGCCCAUGAUGGACACGUUGCCGGUGGAAUGGUACUGCAAGAUACCAGCGAUCGUUGCCAAAGCCCUGUUACCUGUGGAGAAGGUCAUGUUUAACUUUCCUGUGCUGCUGCAGUUCGUAUGAUGAAGGUGCUCCCACAAUUGUGGUCAUUUGAGAAGUUACAGAUCAUUCAUCUGGCGAUACACCAUCAGCUCUUCAGAUAUUACAAGUGGACUUUCAGAUGGGAAACUCAAUUAUUGUAACAUAAAUCUCUGACAGAAUUACUCAAUUCAUCAACAUCUGGAUAUUUGCAUUGUGUAUUUCCACAAUUUUACUUCUGCACUGUUCUUAACCUUUUGAUCCCUCUGAAAGACUGAGUUACAAUGCCUGCCCUUCCUCGCUGGCUCUCCCACCUCUCUUUCAGCAGUUGUGUGCAAAUACUGACUGGAUCCCUUACCUGGAGGAUAUUUAUUUGAAUUUGUUCUAAUGAUGAUCCAGCAGAUUUCCCAAGCGUCGCUCCAUAAAUGUCCAGAGGAUUUCUCGAUUUCACAAUCUGUGGUUGUUCUUCUGGUUCCUCACUCACUGCACUUGCUUUCUGUUUGAAAGCUUAGUCUGCAAUUGGAGAAUUCAAACAGGUCCACAUCGAGCUCUGACAGUCACUUUGUUUAUCACAAACCAGUUACCUCAGGAUUUUGAACAUUGGAGGAAAAAGCAGCAUUCACACUGGGGAGAAAUGCACAUGGUCUGUAAAGAGUCUGUGAAGAUUCAUCUGAAAUGUCCGAACACCAGCGCAGUGACACUGGGGUGAGACUGGAAAU